This 320-nucleotide ribosomal RNA is filed under the name uncultured eukaryote. RNAcentral describes it as "partial 18S ribosomal RNA". It matches the Rfam family "Eukaryotic small subunit ribosomal RNA", at positions 1470 to 1796 of the family's 1831-position model. The record is from RNAcentral.
CCCUUAGAUGUUCUGGGCUGCACGCGUGUUACAAUCGGGAGUACAACAAGAUUGCAAAUCCUAGUGGAUGAGUGGUUCUUCGAAAUUUUCUGAAGACUGGGAUAGUUGAUUGAAAUUAUUCAACUCGAACGAGGAAUUCCUUGUAAUUGUAAUUCAUUAUAUUGUAAUGAAUACGUCCCUGCCCUUUGUACACACCGCCCGUCGCUCCUACCGAUUGAACGAUCCGGUGAAUUAUUUGGAGUGGCUCUGGAAGUUGCAGAACUUCCUAUGUCACGAAAUUUUGUAAACCUUAUCGUUUAGAGGAAGGAAAAGUCGUAACA